Astyanax mexicanus (Mexican tetra) is the source of this 473-nucleotide long non-coding RNA. RefSeq lists it as uncharacterized. NCBI's taxonomy places the organism in Eukaryota, Metazoa, Chordata, Actinopteri, Characiformes, Acestrorhamphidae. The transcript is spliced from 3 exons. The record is from RefSeq and is a predicted model, not a curated record.
CACAUUUUACCAUGAGCCGCAUUCAGAACAUGAGUUACACCAAGCCUCCAUAGACCAUAUCUGUCAUGAGACAUGUACCUGCAGAAAGAAACAAGUUGGGCCACACUUCAUCCACAUGAUUACAUGACAGCUGACCUCCGUGUAAUAUGUCCUCCAGCUGCUCGAUAGUGGGAGAUUCAUACGGAAUGGAAAUGAUCUGUGCAGCUCUGAAUGACACGACCAGGUGUGGAUGUGAGCACUGCAUUAACUCCUGUUCUCCAGUAGAUGUCACUGUGUUCACACUCAUUAGGGUUUACUGGGUGUAAGGUCAGGAGAAUAAAGAAACAUAAUAUUCUCACUGUUCACUGUUUAUCCCAUUCAUUUCACCAUGACAGCUGUUAGAUUGUUUCAGUGAUGAGUGUACUGGUGGUGAACUAGGAUAAUUGGAUUUGAUUUUUGAGCAACAAAUUAUAUUAAAUAAACAUGUCAUACUU